This is a non-coding RNA of Pelobates cultripes (western spadefoot toad), 1191 nucleotides long. The record is from the annotation of a GenBank genome assembly. Lineage: Eukaryota; Metazoa; Chordata; Amphibia; Anura; Pelobatidae.
GGCAAAACACUAAAACCAAAAACAUUUCAAUAAUAAUUAACACUUCCGUUGAAUAAAUGUAUUAAAUGAAUGUCAACCCCAAAAGGGUACUCCAAUUUCUUUUGACACUCUCACCUCUGACUAUGCUUGAUCAGUUUCAGUACAUGCAUAUGAACCAUUGUAUAAUCGCUUUGACCAACCAUUACACUCGCAAUGCCAUCCAUUAAAAGUUUGAAACUCUCUGUACUACAUCAACCUUCCCACUUCAUUUUUUCCCCGCCUUUUGAUCUCUACGGAUUUCUUGUCCCUUUCAUCUUUCGUACAUAAAUACAAAUCAGACAUCAAUAAUUCUCUCACUCUGUCACAGUGGAGGAAGAUAUUGUUACUGUGUUACUGUGGAACCCCUAGCAGGCAUCUCUGCUGUGUUGUAAGUUAUUUAUAAAGUAACAGUAGAUAUAGGAAAUUUAACAACACAUUUCUAUCUACAUGGUAUUAUACACCACAGUCUUCAUGCAACUGACCACAGCAUUUCCCCUAUUUGCUGGUGAUAAGCCAAGAAACAGGUUAUAUUCGUAAUAUAUGGUAAUGCUGCCCACUUCUAGCUUUUUAUUGGAAGGUAGUGAUUCAUGAAAUUCACCAUAUAACUAGGUUCUAGAUACAUUUAUUUCACAUUAAUAUCCUUCUACAAAAAUUGAAAAAAUGUUAUUUGCCCUUACUUAUGUCUGUUAAGUCAUUGAUUCCUAUUAUGCAGAAACAACCCUUCCCACCAACAAUGUCAAGUCAGGUAUCCAGUGUCAAUGAGAUUCGAGAGCUAGAGGAAUUGAAAGUCAUGUUGCAGCAAAAAUUAUACUUACAAAAUUUAUGGUGGAGUAAAUGAAUACAUAUUAUUGUCCACCCAAAGGCAUUUCUGCUUCCCUUCCAAGUGGUCUUAUUCUGCCACUCCCUGACCGUUCACGUUCAUUGCCAAUGACCAGAUCCAUUGUCAGUUCUCCUGAUGAGUCAUAACUGAUUUAGAUCUAAACUUUGGUUAACAUUGAGACAGAGUUUGAAAGACCAGAUAUAUGUAACCAUGUUUUUUACACUGCAAUCAUAGCAUUGUUUAGUAUCUUUGUUGAAUCUUAAUAAAUAUAAAAUAAAGAAAAGUAAAAAUGGAAAAAAUUACAACCAUCUCAAAUAUUACAUUAGAGGCUUUGCCGAAUAGGUUAUAGCUAG